This 222-nucleotide ribosomal RNA is filed under the name uncultured bacterium. Its description in RNAcentral is "partial 16S ribosomal RNA". It matches the Rfam family "Bacterial small subunit ribosomal RNA", at positions 326 to 539 of the family's 1533-position model. The record is from RNAcentral.
ACGCUCGACACCUACGGAAGGCAGCAGUAGGGAAUCUUCCACAAUGGACGCAAGUCUGAUGGAGCAACGCCGCGUGAGUGAAGAAGGUCUUCGGAUCGUAAAACUCUGUUGUUAGAGAAGAACACGAGUGAGAGUAACUGUUCAUUCGAUGACGGUAUCUAACCAGCAAGUCACGGCUAACUACGUGCAGCAGCCGCGGUAAUCUGAGCGGGCUGGCAAGGC